UCUCCAGCAGCUUUCCCUAUGACACUGCAUACAAAUUUUUUAGUAUAAUCUAUCUUAGAUCAUUUUCCUUCACUUUUCCAACAUGCGUAGACCCAAACAACGACCCGACAACUAAACAAUUAUUAAUGCAGCAUCACAACAGACGAAAUCCCAAGGUGAUGAUGCUUCAACAAUGAGGAGAAGGCAGCUUGACAUUCGCUUAAGUGUCUUGUCCAUGGCAUCUGUUAGUGAUUCCAGAUUGUUGACGAAAUAUCGUCUUCUGCUACCUCUAGGUUCCGAUGGCCAUUGAUAAUUGGAGAGCAGCAUAGGAGUGUGACAGCUUUGUCUGGGCUAAAUGCCCUACUAUAGAAUGGAAUCCUCUUGAGAAACUUUGUCUGCCCCUAAGUUACAAAAUACACAUCAUAAGUUAAUUAACAAAAUUAAAACAAAAGAUUGAGAUUUUGAGCUGAAGUUUUUGUGUGACCUAGGUCCUUGUGACAAUAGCCAAUCAGCAUGUCAGUUUUCUGUGUUAGCAAGCAAAGGGC
This is a long non-coding RNA of Daphnia pulex (common water flea), 524 nucleotides long. RefSeq lists it as uncharacterized. The record is from RefSeq and is a predicted model, not a curated record. NCBI's taxonomy places the organism in Eukaryota, Metazoa, Arthropoda, Branchiopoda, Diplostraca, Daphniidae. The transcript is spliced from 3 exons.